This is a long non-coding RNA of Tribolium castaneum (red flour beetle), 1251 nucleotides long. RefSeq lists it as uncharacterized. The record is from RefSeq and is a predicted model, not a curated record. The transcript is spliced from 3 exons. NCBI's taxonomy places the organism in Eukaryota, Metazoa, Arthropoda, Insecta, Coleoptera, Tenebrionidae.
UGCUCAUUGCGAGACUACAAUUUGAUGAGGACAGACACGGCCUUGUACCAAACACAAUGCGUUAUCGCCGCUUUUUCUAACAUCACCCCUCAACCUGUUGAUCAUUUUUUGUGCACUGAUAGUUUCAAGGUGAAGUCUUCAGUGUUCGCAAAAAACUAUUACUUAGUGCAAUUUUUAACGCAAGUGCUGCGAAACCGGUCAAUAAGCAAGAACGCGGUGGUGGUAACAUGUUGAGAAAAAUUCAAGUGAAAGUUUAAGGGAUGGCUCGUGUAAUAAAGGAAAAUGGUUUUCCGAUAAAAGGGGAUAAGAAUAAGUUGGAGAAAAAUUGCAUAAGGCGGUGGCGGUAACAAGAUUAGUAGAUUUAUGGAUUUUAAAGGGUAUUACAACAUUACAUUGUGAGGGUCAAGAAGAAAACCCUACUCUCCAUACGCAGUGGCGAAGUUUUUCCCGAUAAUCCCUCGGGUAUAAAUCUUCCCGUUUCACGAAAAGGUCAAAGCGAGCGCCGAUGGAAUUGUACUAAUGGGUCUUGGUACGGGUGUGUGGAAGGAGCGCAAAGUGCGAUAAGGACGAUUCGGAAGUAAAAUUUGGUGCGAAAGCGAAAUUAGCCUUAUUAAAAUGCCUCUGUCCUCGUUCUCCUCCGUCCUUAAUAUGGGCUCUCAAUUCCCAAUUAUCUCAUCUUUCGUUUGUCGGAAUAAUCAAAGCGAGCAACUAAUUACUAACAAGUUUAAAUCUGUCAUCGGGCACGGUAGCCGGCGUGCACUGAGACGAAACGGUUUAUUUAAAACGUCAACAGCGCUCCGAAAAAACGCCCGCACUCUCGCACACAUGAUGCCGAUAAGCCUUCCUAUUCUUUCAGCGAGGCUGAGCGAUUUUCAGAUUUCUAAUGUUUUUGUGCGGGAGAAAAAACGCGCGUUCCGGUGACGACGCCGUUUAUUUUUACAUUCGUUCGGAGCGAGGCUUCCGUUUUUACCCCGAAACGCGGACAUCUGCUUAAGGAGAUGAUCGUCGGCAUGGUUUAAAAAGCAACCGGGAAACAAUGCCCGAUUUUUACGACUGAAAUCAGACCGGAAUCGUUCCGGGGCGAAGAAAAACACUGACGAUCGCACGAUUCCGGCGCGGAUGAGGUGAGGAAAACGUCGCGUGUUAAUGGCCGCAAAUCGGACGAUUUUAACGAUAAAUCCACAUAACUUGGAAGUGUUAACGUGGCGCUUAUUAAAAUCGCCCAAAUGAUAACAUUUUACAGCUUGCUUU